CCAUGAUGAAGUCGUGGCAUUCAGUAACACGUGGCUAACCUACCCUUGAGACGGAGACAACCCCGGGAAACUGACGGCAAUCCCAGAUAUAGAUGAGAACUCCUGGAACGGGUUCUCGUCCAAAGAGCAGGCGUCUAGGUCAUGUACUUCUAGGCGUCGCUCAAGGAUGGGGCCGCGGCCGAUCAGGCUGUUGGUGAGGCAACGGCUACGGCCACCAAACCUUUCGGUACGGGCCGUGGGAGCGGGUGAAGCACGUAGCCCCGGAGGAUGAGACAAGGUCCCAGGCCCUACGGGGCGCAGCCGUUGCGAAAACUCGUCAAUGCACGAAAGUGUGAACGGGCUACCCCGAGUGCUGUCCGCUGAGGAUGUAGCUUUUCUCUGCUGUAAGGAGGCGGAGGAAUAAGGAGAGGGCAAGUUACUGGUGUCAGCCGCCGCGAGCAGUAAUACCAGCUAGUGGUGGAUGUUUAUUGGGCCUAAAGCGUCCGUAGCCUGCCCUUCAAGUCUUUCGUUAAAUCCAACGAUUCAAUCGUUGGACUGCGGGAGAUACUGUUGGGCGGGGGCGGGAGAAGGGCCGACGGUAUUUCCGGGGUAGGGGUAAAAUCCUAUAAUCCCGGGAGGACCACCAGUGGCGUAGGCGGUCGGCUAGCACGUGCUCGACGGUGAGGGACGAAAGGGGGAGCAAACCGGAUUAGAUACCCGGCCCAGCUGUAAACGAUGCGGGCUAGGUGUUGGAGUGGCCACGAGCCGGACUUCAGUGCCGCAGGGAAGCCAUUAAGCCCGCCGCCGGUGGGGGAGUACGGCCGCAAGGCUGGCACUUAGGAAUUGGCGGGGGAGCACCACAAGGGGUGAAGCUUGCGGUUCAAAGCAUGGUGGA
RNAcentral lists this ribosomal RNA (874 nucleotides) under uncultured crenarchaeote. Its description in RNAcentral is "bacterial SSU rRNA". It matches the Rfam family "Archaeal small subunit ribosomal RNA", at positions 70 to 924 of the family's 1478-position model. Lineage: Archaea; Thermoproteati; Thermoproteota. The record is from RNAcentral.